Molecule: transfer RNA, 91 nt
Filed under: Amphiprion ocellaris (clown anemonefish)
Lineage: Eukaryota; Metazoa; Chordata; Actinopteri; Pomacentridae
Description: tRNA-Glu
Rfam family: tRNA (bases 23-91)
About the family: Transfer RNA (tRNA) molecules are approximately 80 nucleotides in length. Their secondary structure includes four short double-helical elements and three loops (D, anti-codon, and T loops).
Source: RNAcentral
GUUUUUCGUAAAUUGGCCAUUGGUUCUUGUAGUUGAAUAACAACGGUGGUUUUUCAAGUCACUGGUCCUGGUUAAACUCCUGGCAGGAACU